Molecule: non-coding RNA, 8343 nt
Organism: Vicugna pacos (alpaca)
Lineage: Eukaryota; Metazoa; Chordata; Mammalia; Artiodactyla; Camelidae
Source: RefSeq, a predicted model, not a curated record
UACUCAGCCUGCAAUUCGGAAACUGUUUAAUCCUUCAAACACGAAAGGAGCGUUCGAUGCCUACGAAGUUAUCCCACUUCAGAGGUAAGUCCACUUGGCUCCACGUAUAUGAUUAAACACCAGUAGCUCGAGCUCUCUUUGCUCUCGGUGGUCGGUUGCCGGGGGUUCCUAUUUUGACUCGUAUUAAUGUCCAGCUGCCGCUGAAGAAUGCGAGGAAGAGGGGCUCCAGGGUUUUCGGCCGGGAGUCACGAUGCUUCCUGCGUCCGUCCGGCGUGCUUCUCGCCGGACGCACCAUCUUGGCUCCCUGGCUGUGAACGUUUUCAGGAAGUGCUUUCUGGAACAACAAAUACCUCUCUCCUCCAUUAUAUAAAAAAAUCCCCUGCAUGUCGUGCCUACAUUUUAUCCCGGCUGCAUUCAGGGGAAGACAAGGGAGCCUGUGCUGAUCCGGCUCACACGCUAACCCCUGAAAUUUGGGAACCGGCAGAAGGACGGUAAUUCGACACCUUUCUUUCAUAAAUAUUUAAGAGUGUGUGUCUGCAGCUCUCGCUUCGGAGGAGUUUUCUGAGGGGCAGGUAAUCCUGGUUUUAAGGAAGGGUUGCCGCGUCUCCGCCCUCAUCGUCCACGCUGUGCCUUCGGGGAUUGGCCCCCGUGCCCACCGCGACUGGGCGCUCUCGCCCCGGGUUCCAGCGGCCAGCGCGCAGCCUGGACAGGCCAGGCGGCUUGUGCCCGGCAUUGGGGCCAUUAAAGGGGAGACGUGGCUCAGCCGAGGGCUCUCCCGUGUCACCCCCCCCAAGCGAGAGGCCGCUUUUCAGCUUCAAAACAGCACAAGCGAAGUAAGCAAAAGCCCUCUUUGCUGCCUCCGGGUUCAGAUGACAGUUGGCUUUUGCCCGAGGCUGUUGAGCAAUCUCGAAUGACUUCUCUCCCCUGCACACUGGGGAUGAACCACAAGUUAUUAUAACAAAGCUGGUCGUUGCUCCCGCCAGCGCGUUUCAUCAGCUCCUGGCGUCUCCUUGCAGCCCGACACGCUCUGCCCAGCAUGACGGAUGGCCGGUGCUUAGCGAGCAGGCUCGUUCAGCGGAGCAGUUACUGGCAGGAGCUUUUCCUCUGGCUCCGGGGCUCGGCGUGCACAGACGCGGCCCUGCACGAAUUCCCCAGCAGGGAUGAUAAGAUGUAUCUGGUCUGCCAGCAUCAGGCAGCUUCAUUAAUUAGAACCACAUUGCCUCUUAUCGCAGAAGAUGGAUUUUUCUAGGAAGAAUUACCCUUUGGCACUUAGGAUGAGCAUGAAGAAAAACAGAUAAGACCACAGACAUAACCUUCCUUAAUUUAGGACGGCAAAUAUUUAAGCAUAGGAUUAAGGCUUCGGGAAAAGGAGACUUUGGCUACCAUUCUGCAGAGGAGCUAUCUGGGAGAGCUGCCUUCCCUUGUUUGGGCUGGCUCUGGGAGGUAGACAUUUGGGGAGCUGUAACUUAACAUGCAUUGGUCCUACGGUUUAAAACACGCUGUUGAGUACUGCACUCUUUCGUGCUUAAAACAAAACAGUGCAAAAUAAGCAAGAAGCAGGCUAGUAAAAAAGUUUACAAAGCCACCAAACACGGGGAAAAAAAAAAUCUAGCAAAAUCAAGUUGUUUCUUUGAAGGGGAGAACUGACACUUCCAGCGGGAAGAGCAGCGAGCGUCAGAGGCCGUCUGAGUUUUAAGGUGGCGUGAGGCUGAGUGGACCUGCUUCCUGGCCCUCGUGCAGAACUUCAUGUGCGGGAAUCCUGCGCCCAAAGCCACGACGAGAGUUGGCUGCCACGAACGUCCAAGCCCGUGGAGACGGUUCCAACACCUGCCAGGCAGUUUGCAGCCCCUGCUUCAGUCUCACCCCAGACCUCAUUGGAGGACCAGCUUUGCAUGUAAGCCAGUUGACUGAGAACCUAGCCCUCUCAGGGGGAAGGGAAGUCGCUGGAGGGUUUCGGGCAGAGACGGGGUGCGAUUAGACGUGUGUUUUUGAAAGACUGUCCUUCACGAUCCGGUGAAGCCAAGGGCUCCCUUCACUCCUCCCCGUUCUUUGCUGUCCUUCACCCGCCAUUCGGGAGGGGAGCCCCUGGGGCUUCCUGCCCCACAUCCUUGAGCGGAUGGCAGUGUUGAGAGACGCCCCGUGGUCCCACCCUCAUCCUUCAGGAUGGAGAGUGAGAAAGCCAUGAAUGAACCUCAGAAGGAGCCAGAAAACCUCAUUCUUCCCAGAUGUUCUUCUCCUCAGGCCGUCGCACGGUGUCUCAAACACAGUUGCUCAUUACCUGGAGCCUUGGAGAGUGGGGCUCCCCCUUCCCCCUCCAGAUGUAACAUUUCAGUGAUUACUCACCAGUCGCCGCGCUGCCCCUGCAACGGCGAGUUCCUUCUCCACGACGUUCUCUCCCGUCAAGAGCCGUGCUGACAGGUGGCUGAGUCACACCUUCUUGGAGCGCGCCGGAUGCCACACGCUCCAUGGAGGGCGCGCGGAGGGAGGAGAUGAGACGCUACACACUGGGUGACGGGUGAUGAGAUGAUCACCCCUCGCUGACAGCACGCCUUGGAAUCUGCGUUCCGGAUGAAGAGAGCUGGCGAAAAGAAUGCUGAUGUGGGUGAACGGGGGUUUUAGUUCAGGGAAGUGGCUCAGCGGGGCACGCUGAGUCACCCUGACCGCACCCCAGUCUCCGCACGCCUCUCCCUCCCGGUGGCUUUCUCUCCCGGGAUCUCAACUCUACGCCGUCACCGGAGUACGCUCCCAAAGACCACGCCACUAUUUAAAAAAGGGGGGGAGGGGUCCAUCGCCGAGCCCCUUGCUGCCUUGUUGGUCUCACCUCUCACUCCAAUCGCGUGGUUUUCUGCGACGUAUUUCAGAAACCUGGAGCUACGUAUCGGCCCCCAGGCCCCACGCUGUUGGCUAAGUCCACGUUCCCUCGUCACUGGCCUCCACUAAGUACGCCAGCCACCACUUGAUGCUGCAAACAAAACUCUGGGUGUCAUUCUUAAAUGACCCGCUCCCUUCUGCUGGUGGCCAGGCUCCGCGCUGCUCACAUCCCCGUGCACACUCAUGCCUGGACACGGGCGUUGCUCCACACUGGACCACGGCGCUCACCGCCUUUUCCACCAGGUCCCCCUGCAGCCCUCUGGGAGAUCCAGCCACGGCACGCCCCCGCCUGCGACGUUCCAUGGCUUCCCGCUGUUCUUAUGAUGAAUUCUGCUUUCUACCGUGUCCUGUAUCUCACGCUUGUGAGCACCCCCCGGCCCCCUCAUACACCUCAUUGCAUCUCUUUCUCGCCUUCUUUCUGUCCCUGAAGCACCUUUUUAAGGUUUUGGCGGGAGUGGCAGCACCCUAGGGUUUGGAAGAACCGCAUCUCUUGAAAAGCCUGCCCCUUCCUCCUCGUUACACAGCCGAGAAACACCCCGAGGAAGGGUAGCAUUUGCGGUGCGUGUUCCACGGGUCUCCUGAUCUCUGUCAGUGCUCCCCGCCCCCCCAACAGUUCCUCUUCCCAGGACGGGUCCCUACAGCCAAGGUCAGGCAGCAAGGCCCGAGGGCCUCCAAGCUUUUCAGCACCAAGAGGGUCUGGACCAGCAGCCGCAGGGUCCAGGCAAGGCACGUACGACAAAGCAAAGCCGUGGCAGAGCGGUGGAGGUGGGGGCUGUCACCCUGCCGGGGCGGGGCCACUGCUCAGUGCUGCCGGACGUCUGCGCUCAGCGCCCACCGCCGGGGAGCUCUCGACUUUCGAUUAAAUUCUCAAUCUUAGUAAAGUGUAAGGUAAAGAAAGAGUGGGAGUGACCUCUGGGGCAGACGUCCGGGGGAGCGCGGAGGGCCACAGGGCAGCCAGGGGUGCGGGUGGAAGGAGAGCAGCCGAGAAGGGCUGAGCGUGGCGGGUACAGGACGGCGAGGGCCGGCAGGGCGGCGGAGCGGCAGAGGAGGCAGAGGGCUCGGACCGCGCACAGCGGAAGCGGGGCGGCCCCCGGAGACCCCUUGCUGUCAGCAGGAUAAAUCCACAUUUCUUUCUCCUAAAAGUUCUAGCCUCUCCGGCGUCUCUGGCCGCCUAGCUUGGCCUCACGGCUCCGGGGGUCUGCCAGGCUGCGCCCGGGUUCGCGCCCUGAGGCUGCACGGGAGAUGCUGGCGGCGGAGGCCGCCCCUGUCUCUGCGGUAACCGGUGUCCAACGUCUCAGAAGCUGUUGCUUUACAUCUUUUUAUUUCUUCUCUUUUCUAUUUUUUUUAAAGUUGUUUCAGGCAGGAAGGCAAAUCCAAUCACUGCUGCUCAGUCUCAGCGUAAAGUGUCAGUCCCCCUGCUCACCCUCAACACACUCAUCCUUGAGGGAAAACACAGAUCACCCUGUAAAGUCCACCCUCUCCAGGUCCUCCCUGACGUUCCUGCAAGUCAGGCAUCCCACGUGCGCGUCCCGCCUUCGCCGCUUGUCCCAGACGUCUCUUUCCUCUCUCUGUCCCCUUGGCACCACGCUCUGCGGUGCGCAGUCACGUUCACCUGUCCGUUUUCUUUUCGACUGUGUCCAUUAUCUUCAGUGAGGGGCACAUCCAUCUCUGUAACGUUCCUUCCGUUCACUAACAGAGUCCACAUGCAAGGACUACUUGUGAAGGAAUGGAUAAGUAAAUGGAAAGGAGCUCGGGGAAUCGUAGCGAGUGGACAUUGGCUGACGUCUGAGAGGACAGCUUGGAGGACGGUGUGGCGCUCUGGAGGCAGACCCCGAGCUGGGGGAGACGAGCUUGAGAUCUGGGGGGAAACACCUGUGAUGGGACGUCUCUCCUCGUGUGCCGUCUGACACCUCUGAAAGCAGAGAGGGCAGAAAGAAUUGGGCAGAAAGAGCUUCCAGCUGAAACCCACCUUCUGAGAAGGCGUAAGGCUGACGGGGCUCCCCUGGCAAACCGUGCCGCUGAAGUGGUCCUGCGUCGGGCAGAACGGCCCCGUGUCCGACCCCACCGUGCUCAGGCACUGGCUGCGGCGGCCCAGGGGACAAGGGGCCCCCGCAGGAACACGGUUGCGAGUGUAGGGGUGCUGCUGCCCCUGCAGGUUGGCGGCCAGCUAUGCUCCCGCAGCGGGCGUCCUGAGGCCCGGGCGGCGUGAAUCUCUGGCUACCGCACAUGGGUUGGGGUCGAGGGGUGAGCAGCCGGGGUGAUGCAGAAUGUUGCCACCAUUUGCACAUGCUAACUACUAUCCAGAAAUUAGACAACGCCCAGUUUCAUGUGCACAGCCCAGGGGACUGCGUUCGCCGUCUUGUGGGAACCUGUAAGGAGAAGGAAUCUGAAAGCAAACAGGUAUGUGUACGCGUGACUGACACAGGACGCUGUGCACCAGAAACUGACACACUGUGACCAACCACACUUCAAUUUAAAAAAUAUUUUUAAAAAGCCUGCAACCCACCCCCGAGACCGCUGAGAGAGGGCCCCGGUCGGCAGCUGGAGCUGGCCCGCAGGGGCACUCCUGGGCAGGCCUCUGUGCUGAGCACCGGGCCCUGGAGCUGGUCUGGGGCCUGCCCGGAUUCCGGCUCUCUCUUCGCCUCCGACGGGCCAGGGCACAGAGCCGCGCGGCUUAUCCAAGACCCGCUUUACGAGUCCCCUGCUUUGAGGGCUGGCAGGUGCAAUUUGUUGCUUUCAUUGUCUCGUAAAGAUGCUAAUCUCCCAGCCACAGCGAGGGGCCGCUUCUGUGGCCGGUUCUGCUUCGCUGCUCAACAUGCUGAAGGGCUUUGCUGGAUCCCCGUGCCACGCUUGCCAAGUGACGAGCUGCCCUCCUCAGCUGUCACGGAGGCGGUGGAGGGCCUGGGACUGAACAAGCAGCGCCUUGCCGCAGGCAGCCUCCCUGAGUCACGGGGUGAGGGCUGGGGGAGCGGCCAGGUGCCCCAGCAUGCCGGGCCCGAGUUCCGCGCAAGGACACCGAGCCCGCAGGGCUGCCUCCGAGCUGCUGCCACCAGGCUGGGCUCUGCCCCCAACACACCGAGACCUGAUCCAGAAAGUCUGUGGAAAACGGGCAAAGGGCACACGGAGGCUGGAUUCGGGACCUUGCUGAGCGUGCAUUUUCUUGCACUGAGGCCCGAAGCCAGCCCUGUCUUCCCCGCACACACGCUCUGCCGUCUUAGGUCCACCUGAAGGGAGUGGAGCUUCGGGACCACUUCAAAGCGCACUUAGCAAGACGUCACGCAGACAUCACAGCCUGUUGCUAGACCUCAGCUGGUGGCAGAGGAGUCUGCUGAUCUUCUCAAAGCUGGAGAAUCUGCUCACUCCUUCAGGUCAGAUGCGGCUUGAGGUUUCAGUUUUCCAAAUGCAGAAACGGGGAGAAAGUGUUUGUUCGUUUAUGUGCUAAGCACACGCACGCAUCAGCUGGAUGAAAUCUCAGGAGCCAGGCUCCCAGCCUGGUCACGAACGGGGAUCGGGGGACAAGGAAGCGGCAGUCGUUUGCAGGCUGGACGAGCCUGGGGGCCCUUUGCCGCCGUCUCCCGGCUCCUGUCUCUGGUGUCCUGGACGGUGGCACGCUCGUAGGUGACGCCUUGCAAUGGCCAAGCAGAGUUCAGAGCGACUCUCCCUGAACCCAUCACAGCGGUCCUUCCAGCCACGGGCGUUACGCAGCGGCAACGGCAGUUUCACAGGCUUCGCAGACGUGCCUGGAGAAUGAGCCCGGCAGAGAGCAAGGGACCGCAGGCCACACCAUCCAAGUGUUCUGGGACGCCUGGAUGGUUCGGCCCUGCCCUCCUGUCUCAUGAACGCUGGCCCGUCUGCUGAGAUGCAUAUACAGUGUCACUCCUGUGUGCCAGUGCGGAGAUGAUUUCGUUAAGGGCAGAACCUGGAAGGGCACGAGUGGAAAUGCUGACUGCCAGUGAGAAGAUGGGGUUUCGCCAGGGCGGUCUCGGUCACCCUGGUGUUUUGCAGUGCUCCGCCCGGGCACAGACUUCUGGGGUUGCCCUUACAGAAGGGGGGCCGCACAGACCUGGUCAGAUCUAGGCUCUACAGCUACCCUGGGCAAGGUGCUCAGCCUGCUGUGGACUGUUUCCUCUGCCGUAACAAGGUUCUCUCCUGGUUUGGUUUAACCAGGAGAGACAUUAACUCCACAUCCAUGUGCAUAGAAUCAGCCUCUUCCUGGUAAAGAAUUGUCCACGGUUCUGCAGCCAGUGGCCUCACGCACGAAGAAGACGCAGAAGGCUGGUCCUGCAGGAAGGAUGAAAAGAUCCGCAGAGCCCAGCCUGGAGGUGGAGAGACCCCGGAGCAGCGAGCUGGACCACAUGAGACCGACAACAUUCGACUGUCUUGACCUGCGUACAUGGCCAUUUUAUAAGAUUCAACACAACACACGGAACCUGUUCCAGGCGUCCUGAGGUCUGUCGCAGGAAACGAAACCAGUCUGCACAGGAGCUAAACAAAGUUCUCCCUCUCAGCAGAGAUUCAUUUGGAAGCAUGCGGUGCAGGAAGGGUUCCAGGGCAGGUAAACUUCCUAAGGAUAGAGUGAGCUGUUACCAGAAUUGCUGAGUGACCUGGCAGAGACGUCCUAGAAGGGCGCGCGCCACGUGCAUCCCAGCCUCAGGCAUCGAUUCAUCCUCUCCUCUCUCCCUGAGGCUCAGGGUUUUAGAUGUGAGUGGUGCAAACAUUACUAAACAUUCAAAUCCAGUGAGUGUGAGAUACGACUUGCAUUACCGGUAGUUAAUAGAGUGUGAAAUGUUAAUCAAAUGUGUAGCUUUUUAUUUCUCUCCUUUUCUAUUUUCAAAAUAGCCGAGAAAGGUUGUUAUUCCAAAGUUAAAAAUUAGUUUGAGCACACUGUGAAAAGUAUAUUCACAAUUACUUUGUAUUAUUUCAGAAUGCAUCCUGUAAUUGUUUAAUUCUAAGAAUUAUUUUGUGGGUCGCUGACAUCAAAGCAUAGUGAAUUAUUUGAUUUAUUUAAAUUUAAAAGUUGUUUUUUAUGAUUCUUCUAAAAAAUACUCAGAAGUAGCAUCAUUUCCUGAAAUUCCUCAUCGGAAUCAUCUACGCUGACUGAUCACGGCCCAUUCUAGUUUAGUGAAGAAUACUUUAAUAAAAGUCAUUGUACUGUUGGAAUAAAAUUCACGUAAGAAUGACCACUUCUAACGAUAAAUAGAGAACUAUUUUAACAUCGUCUGAGAAUAAAUGGGUUUUAAUUCUGACCUCUCGUUCAUUCCUUCUGUCAUUACUGUACUCGGCACUUCCCGGUUACGUGCCAGGCUGCACCACGGGGUGGGUGAAGGUCAAGCCAGGAGUGCGUGUCCUGCGGCCUUUUCCCACCUGCAGUCGACUCCAUUCAGAUCGUAAUUUCCAGAUUCACUGGUUGGCGAAUUUAUCAAACACUCAGUCCUUGAUCAGAUGACUUGAACCACUUGUGAAUGUUGAGAA